This 359-nucleotide ribosomal RNA is filed under the name uncultured eukaryote. RNAcentral describes it as "SSU rRNA". It matches the Rfam family "Eukaryotic small subunit ribosomal RNA", at positions 587 to 949 of the family's 1831-position model. The record is from RNAcentral.
AGCUCUGCUAGCGUAUAUUAAAGUUGUUGCAGUUAAAAAGCUCGUAGUUGAAUUUCUGGUAGGAGUGAUUGGUCCAUCACAACGUGUUGGAACCUGAUUGUCUCCGGCCAUCCUUGGAAAGAGUCUUCAUGGCAUUAAGUUGCCGAGUUGACAGUUUCCAUCAUUUACUGUGAAAAAUUAGAGUGUUCAAAGCAGGCUUAUGCCAUUGAAUAUAUUAGCAUGGAAUAAUAAGAUAGGACUUUGGUACUAUUUUGUUGGUUUGCGCACCAGAGUAAUGAUAAAUAGGGACAGUUGGGGGUAUUCGUAUUCAAUUGUCAGAGGUGAAAUUCUUGGAUUUAUGGAAGACGAACUACUGCGAA